This 465-nucleotide ribosomal RNA is filed under the name Vreelandella stevensii. Its description in RNAcentral is "partial 16S ribosomal RNA". It matches the Rfam family "Bacterial small subunit ribosomal RNA", at positions 338 to 795 of the family's 1533-position model. The record is from RNAcentral. Lineage: Bacteria; Pseudomonadati; Pseudomonadota; Gammaproteobacteria; Oceanospirillales; Halomonadaceae.
CCUACGGGUGGCUGCAGUGGGGAAUAUUGGACAAUGGGCGAAAGCCUGAUCCAGCCAUGCCGCGUGUGUGAAGAAGGCCUUCGGGUUGUAAAGCACUUUCAGUGGGGAAGAAAGCCUUGGGGCUAAUACCCUCGAGGAAGGACAUCACCCACAGAAGAAGCACCGGCUAACUCCGUGCCAGCAGCCGCGGUAAUACGGAGGGUGCGAGCGUUAAUCGGAAUUACUGGGCGUAAAGCGCGCGUAGGCGGUCUGAUAAGCCGGUUGUGAAAGCCCCGGGCUCAACCUGGGAACGGCAUCCGGAACUGUCAGGCUAGAGUGCAGGAGAGGAAGGUAGAAUUCCCGGUGUAGCGGUGAAAUGCGUAGAGAUCGGGAGGAAUACCAGUGGCGAAGGCGGCCUUCUGGACUGACACUGACGCUGAGGGGCGAAAGCGUGGGUAGCAAACAGGAUUAGAUACCCCUGUAGUC